AGUGAACGCUGGCGGUAGGCCUAACACAUGCAAGUCGAACGGCAGCACAGUAAGAGCUUGCUCUUACGGGUGGCGAGUGGCGGACGGGUGAGGAAUACAUCGGAAUCUACUUUUUCGUGGGGGAUAACGUAGGGAAACUUACGCUACUACCGCAUACGACCUACGGGUGAAAGCAGGGGAUCUUCGGACCUUGCGCGAUUGAAUGAGCCGAUGUCGGAUUAGCUAGUUGGCGGGGUAAAGGCCCACCAAGGCGACGAUCCGUAGCUGGUCUGAGAGGAUGAGCAGCCGCACUGGAACUGAGACACGGUCCAGACUCCUACGGGAGGCAGCAGUGGGGAAUAUUGGACAAUGGGCGCAAGCCUGAUCCAGCCAUACCGCGUGGGUGAAGAAGGCCUUCGGGUUGUAAAGCCCUUUUGUUGGGAAAGAAAAGCAGCAGGUUUAUACCCCGCUGUUCCGACGGUACCCAAAGAAUAAGCACCGGCUAACUUCGUG
Molecule: ribosomal RNA, 492 nt
Filed under: uncultured bacterium
Lineage: Bacteria
Description: partial 16S ribosomal RNA
Rfam family: Bacterial small subunit ribosomal RNA
Source: RNAcentral